Molecule: ribosomal RNA, 460 nt
Filed under: uncultured bacterium
Lineage: Bacteria
Description: partial 16S ribosomal RNA
Rfam family: Bacterial small subunit ribosomal RNA
Source: RNAcentral
CCUACGGGAGGCAGCAGUGAGGAAUAUUGGUCAAUGGACGAGAGUCUGAACCAGCCAAGUAGCGUGAAGGAUGACUGCCCUAUGGGUUGUAAACUUCUUUUAUAUGGGAAUAAAACGUUCCACGUGUGGGAUUUUGUAUGUACCAUAUGAAUAAGGAUCGGCUAACUCCGUGCCAGCAGCCGCGGUAAUACGGAGGAUCCGAGCAUUAUCCGGAUUUAUUGGGUUUAAAGGGAGCGUAGGUGGAUUGUUAAGUCAGUUGUGAAAGUUUGCGGCUCAACCGUAAAAUUGCAGUUGAAACUGGCAGUCUUGAGUACAGUAGAGGUGGGCGGAAUUCGUGGUGUAGCGGUGAAAUGCUUAGAUAUCACGAAGAACUCCGAUUGCGAAGGCAGUUCACUGGACUGCAACUGACACUGAGGCUCGAAAGUGUGGGUAUCAAACAGGAUUAGAUACCCCUGUAGUC